GGGUCGUGGGUUCGAGCCCCACCCGCCCCACCAGAGGAGUCAUCAUCCUUGGGUCGUGGGUUCGAGCCCCACCCGCCCCACCA
Molecule: transfer RNA, 83 nt
Filed under: Aeromicrobium sp. SORGH_AS_0981
Lineage: Bacteria; Bacillati; Actinomycetota; Actinomycetes; Propionibacteriales; Nocardioidaceae
Description: tRNA-Met
Source: RNAcentral